This 202-nucleotide unclassified non-coding RNA is filed under the name uncultured Sebacina. Its description in RNAcentral is "sequence contains ITS1". The record is from RNAcentral. Lineage: Eukaryota; Fungi; Basidiomycota; Agaricomycetes; Sebacinales; Sebacinaceae.
AUGAAACUUCUAAAGUCAGCUUGUCAUCUGUGCUGGUGGAGACACAAUGUGCACGUUGACAAGUUGCAAAUCCCACACACCUGUGCACCCAUGACUCUGAGUACCGCUUUGCAUGGGCCUCUUAAAGGGCCCUGGUACUCGAGUACUUUACAACACACUCUGAAUGUAACGGAAUGUCUAUUUGUACAAUGUACAACUAAAA